GAUGAACGCUGGCGGCGUGCCUAAUACAUGCAAGUCGAGCGAACGGACGAUAAGCUCGCUUCCCUGAUGUUAGCGGCGGACGGGCGAGUAACACGUGGAUAACCUACCUAUAUGACUGGGAUAACUUCGGGAAACCGGAGCUAAUACCGGCUAAUAUUUUCAACCGCAUGGUUCAAAAGUGAAAGACGGCUUUGCCGUCACUUUUAGAUGGUUCCGCGCUGCAUUAGCUAGUUGGUAAGGUAACGGCUUACCAAGGCAACGAUGCGUAGCCGACCUGAGAGGGUGAUCAGCCACACUGGAACUGAGACACGGUCCAGACUCCUACGGGAGGCAGCAGUGGGGAAUCUUCCGCAAUGGGCGAAAGCCUGACGGAGCAACGCCGCGUGAGUGAUGAAGGUCUUCGGAUCGUAAAGCUCUGUUAUUAGGGAAGAACAGAUGUGUGAGUAACUGUGCACGUCUUGACGGUACCUAAUCAGAAAGCCACGGCUAACUACGUG
This 497-nucleotide ribosomal RNA is filed under the name uncultured bacterium. RNAcentral's name for it is "partial 16S ribosomal RNA". It matches the Rfam family "Bacterial small subunit ribosomal RNA", at positions 28 to 507 of the family's 1533-position model. The record is from RNAcentral.